GUCGUGGUGAUCUCGUUGAAGGUUCCGUGCAAGCGUUGAAACCGUAUGGUGCCUUUAUUGAAGUCGGUGGCAUGUCCGGACUCCUACAUAUUUCACAAAUCUCGUAUGAUCGGAUUGAAGAUCUGGAAAAGGUCUUACAA
Molecule: non-coding RNA, 140 nt
Filed under: Fragilariopsis kerguelensis
Lineage: Eukaryota; Bacillariophyta; Bacillariophyceae; Bacillariales; Bacillariaceae
Source: RNAcentral